Long non-coding RNA from Oreochromis niloticus (Nile tilapia), 2149 nucleotides. The record is from Ensembl. Lineage: Eukaryota; Metazoa; Chordata; Actinopteri; Cichliformes; Cichlidae.
AUGUUGGAGCUAACACUGGCACAGAAGAUGAAGGUGAAGACAAAGGUCAGUAAAUGCCUCAGGAAUGUUGGUAAAUCAUCCACAGAGGGCUGUAAACAUACUGAGAUGGAUCCACAACUUAAUUCAAUUUUAUAUUAUUUAUAUAUGCUGAUAUCUGUCUGUCUGUCUCUCUUGACAAACCAUUUUUCAUUCUACAUUUCAGAAGAAACACCAAACACAGCUGUCCAACAGGGAGACACAGGCCAGGAAACAACUCAAAGAGAUGCAGAUGUGGAACAUGGAGUCACACCUGGCACAGGUCAGCAACUUCCUCACAGAGAAAACAACGACAGAUCCAGAUUUCCAACAGGGAGACACGUCUGACACAGGAUGGGGGAAUACUGUUACUGCAUGGGUGAGCCAAAAAGGUGGCCAGGCUGUGGCUCAAAGUGGACGAAAUGGAACUGGAGUAUGAAGAACAGACCCUCUGUUAGCUUGUUGUGGUUCAUACACUGUAAAGUAUGUGGUGUAACUAUGAUACCAUAAACAUGAAGAUGCAGCUUUGCUUUGACCUUCCUCUGCUCACAGCUGAACAACCUCAGCCAGCUGUUUCUCUAACAUUAGAAGCUCAUAAUGAUGAUGAUCCAGAGUGUGUUGUUGCUCAGUGUUGUUCCCGGUGCUGCUGUGCUGUUUCCUUGUGUUCUGAUGGAUCUCCAUCUAUAGCCGUGUGCUGAAGCCUGAGUGUGUUAUCCAUAUCAGUGUGACAUGAACUGUAAUCUGAAUGUAUUGUAAAGGUUCAUUAGAACAAACUUACUGCAUGUUUAUAUUUAUUUAUUCAUUGAAUAUAGAAGUGUUGAACUGUGAGGUAAAAGGAAAACUUUAACAUUGAUUCCUUCUCUGUGUAAAGCUGGUAUCAUGCGUUGUCUUCAUGUAAAGUUUUAAUAUCAGAUAUACUCAACUGUACGUGUUAUUCUAUGUAUUCUGUAACCAUUACGAUAGAUGACAUGUUUCUAUAAAUGACUCUGUGAUUGUUGCUGUUGUGAUGUUUUGUUUUUUGAUCCUCUGCAAACACAAAGACCACCUGUUUGUGUAAAUCAGUGUUUCCCAUGAAACAAACUUGUAAAUUCUGUAUUUUAAUCUCUUCCACUGGAGUUCUUUGUGGACAUAACAUGAACCUGAUACCAAGAAUGUAGUUUGGAUCAUUCAGCAUCAUUAAUGUUGAGGCAGCCAGGAAGUGUGAAUAAUGAAUUGUACAUUGUUGGAUCAAUAAAAACAGUGUUUACAUUCAAAAACAUCCACCUUCAGAAACUCUGUUCAUUCACACUCUCAGUACUUGGUUUGGGCUCCAGUACCAUGAAUUACUGCAUCAGCUCCUGCUGAGGAGUCACUGAGGCUCAGGUUGGUCUGACUGUGACCUUCAGCUCAUCCAGAGUUUCUCAUCUUCAUCUUAAUAAUAACAGAUUCUCCGAGGGGUUCAGGUCAGGAGAGCUGGCUGACCAAUCAAACACAGUAAUAAGCUUUUGGUUUAGUGUGUCUAUGACCAGCUCCUGAGUCCUGCUGGGAAAGGAAACCAGCAUCUCCAUGAAGCUUGUGAAGAGAACGAAGUAUGAAGAGCUCUGAGGUCUCCUGGUAGAUGCUGUGUGGACUCUGGAACUGUAAAGUCACACCAACAGUCUCUGCAGUGUCACAGUUAGAUAGGAAAAACUGUUUUUUACAAAUUAAACACAUCACGUAUGUGGUGUGUUUAUGGAAAACAGUUACUAAUAUUAUUGUCAGCAUGGAUGACAUUAAAUCAGUCUAAAAGUCCUGUCUUGCAGGUCUUUUCACUUUCAUGGAUUCAAUCUGGUUUGGUUUCAAAUUUUUUACCAAAAUAAAAGUAGAAAAUUGAAUUUAGAUCCAUUGUGUAUGUUCCAGGAGUGUGAAAGUCAAUGCAAUAACUGUACAAAGGAAGUCAAAAGAAGGCAGCUAAGGUUAUGAACUGCUGCUAUGUAUGUAUAAGUGUAUGUAAACCUCUGUAUGUACAAACUGUAUGCCACACUGUACAACACUGUCCUUUAUUUCACGCCUGUUCACUGUACUGUUACAAUUACAGUUAGUCUAAAAAGUAAGAAAACCUGUCUUUGGUUGGUUGGUUUCCUUUUUGUAUCAGUAUUUCUUGGCUAAAUGUGCU